UCCUUGUGACGAUGUGUGCCACGCCUGC
This 28-nucleotide small RNA is filed under the name Bombyx mori (domestic silkworm). Its description in RNAcentral is "ovarian small RNA-28086". The record is from RNAcentral. Lineage: Eukaryota; Metazoa; Arthropoda; Insecta; Lepidoptera; Bombycidae.